CGGACGGUUCGUCGCUGCCCGCGUGUCGGCACGACACGCAGGGGGAGAGGAAAGUCCGGACAGCACAGGGCAGCCCACUUCCUAAUGUAGAAGCAGUCCGCGAGGGUUGAGCAGUGCAGAAGAAAAUAACCGCCUCCGCUACUGGGCGGGGGUAAGGGUGAGAAGGCAGGGUAAGAGCCUACCAGCGGUGUGGUGACACAUUGGCUGUGCACCUUGGGCGCUGCAAGUUCAUGUAAACUGCCGUUUGAGGAUGGCCCGUCCGAGGUAGAGGGUAGAACGCUGGAGGCGCGUGGCGACAUGCGUCGUGGAUAAAUGACGAACCGUGGUGGUGAACCACGACAGAAUCCGGCUUACAGUCCGACUGC
This 365-nucleotide RNase P RNA is filed under the name bovine gut metagenome. Its description in RNAcentral is "Bacterial RNase P class A". It matches the Rfam family "Bacterial RNase P class A". From Rfam's summary of the family: Ribonuclease P (RNase P) is a ubiquitous endoribonuclease, found in archaea, bacteria and eukarya as well as chloroplasts and mitochondria. Its best characterised activity is the generation of mature 5'-ends of tRNAs by cleaving the 5'-leader elements of precursor-tRNAs. The record is from RNAcentral.